GACGAACGCUGGCGGCGUGCCUAAUACAUGCAAGUUGAGCGCUGAAGGUUGGUACUUGUACCAACUGGAUGAGCAGCGAACAGGUGAGUGACGCGUGGGGAAUCUGCCUUUGAGCGGGGGACAACAUUUGGAAACGAAUGCUAAUACCGCAUAAAAACUUUAAACACAAGUUUUAAGUUUGAAAGAUGCAAUUGCAUCACUCAAAGAUGAUCCCGCGUUGUAUUAGCUAGUUGGUGAGGUAAAGGCUCACCAAGGCGAUGAUACAUAGCCGACCUGAGAGGGUGAUCGGCCACAUUGGGACUGAGACACGGCCCAAACUCCUACGGGAGGCAGCAGUAGGGAAUCUUCGGCAAUGGACGAAAGUCUGACCGAGCAACGCCGCGGGAGUGAAGAAGGUUUUCGGAUCGUAAAACUCUGUUGGUAGAGAAGAACGUUGGUGAGAGUGGAAAGCUCAUCAAGUGACGGUAACUACCCAGAAAGGGACGGCUAACUACGUG
RNAcentral lists this ribosomal RNA (497 nucleotides) under uncultured bacterium. Its description in RNAcentral is "partial 16S ribosomal RNA". It matches the Rfam family "Bacterial small subunit ribosomal RNA", at positions 28 to 507 of the family's 1533-position model. The record is from RNAcentral.